Oreochromis aureus is the source of this 472-nucleotide long non-coding RNA. Lineage: Eukaryota; Metazoa; Chordata; Actinopteri; Cichliformes; Cichlidae. The record is from Ensembl.
UUUUUUUUUUCGGGAGCCAAACUAGGGCUUACAAGUUCGCCGUGCCCCUGGGGACCAGUGCGAGGUUGUGCGGCAUGGAGGGUGCAGACACUCCCACAGCGCAGAUUUUGCUAUCAGCACAGAGAGUUUCUGGUGUGGCUUAUGCAAAAGAGACAAUACAGCGUGUUUCUCUGCUCCCGAGGGGAGGUCACGGCAGGAGUUCCCUGAGUUGACACGUAUGAACCAUAAAGUCAGUUUGGACCGAAAAGCAGUCGGACCCACACGGACAUCAGUCCAGACUGAAAUCCGGUUCAGACAGCACACGCAACAUGUUCAAGCUUGCACGGAGGCCUUUCAGUCAAUAUAAGAAGAUGGUUAAGGCGAGAGAUUGCUAUUCUGUCUUUUACAUCGGUACAAAGGGAGGACUAAAUGCCAAAAAAGAGAAAAGUUUUUUAAAAAAAUGACGCUUUAAAACAGUUCAAGUAUCUUUGUG